CGGUGUUUAACUGGCGUGAUGUGGGACGUCCUACCGGUGGGCUUAGCCUCGCGAGGGGCGGCCCAACUAAUAUCCCGUCGCGGUGCUCUUUACUGAGUGUCGAGUCGGGCCGGUACGUUUACUUUGAACAAAUUAGAGUGCUUAAAGCAGGCUAUCCUCGCCUGAAUACUGCGUGCAUGGAAUAAUGGAAUAGGACCUCGGUUCUAUUUUGUUGGUUUUCGGAACCCCGAGGUAAUGAUUAAUAGGGACAGAUGGGGGCAUUCGUAUUGCGACGUUAGAGGUGAAAUUCUUGGAUCGUCGCAAGACGGACAGAAGCGAAAGCAUUUGCCAAAAAUGUUUUCAUUAAUCAAGAACGAAAGUUAGAGGUUCGAAGGCGAUCAGAUACCGCCCUAGUUCUAACCAUAAACGAUGCCAGCUAGCGAUCCGCCGAAGUUCCUCCGAUGACUCGGCGGGCAGCUUCCGGGAAACCAAAGCUUUUGGGUUCCGGGGGAAGUAUGGUUGCAAAGCUGAAACUUAAAGGAAUUGACGGAAGGGCACCACCAGGAGUGGAGCCUGCGGCUUAAUUUGACUCAACACGGGAAACCUCACCAGGCCCAGACACCGGAAGGAUUGACAGAUUGAUAGCUCUUUCUUGAUUCGGUGGGUGGUGGUGCAUGGCCGUUUUUAGUUGGUGGGGCGAUUUGUCUGGUUAAUUCCGAUAACGAACGAGACUCUAGCCUGCUAAAUAGGCGUACCUUAUGGUAUCGCGAAGGCCCCCGGCUUCGGCCGGUGGGUUUUUACUACCAACGUACAAACAAAUCUUCUAGAGGGACAGGCGG
Molecule: ribosomal RNA, 818 nt
Filed under: uncultured eukaryote
Lineage: Eukaryota
Description: SSU rRNA
Rfam family: Eukaryotic small subunit ribosomal RNA
Source: RNAcentral